Molecule: non-coding RNA, 27 nt
Filed under: Rattus norvegicus (Norway rat)
Lineage: Eukaryota; Metazoa; Chordata; Mammalia; Rodentia; Muridae
Source: RNAcentral
UGAGAGUUCGCAUCUCAAUCCAAGAGA